GAUAAACGCUGGCGGCGUGCUUAACACAUGCAAGUCGAACGAAGUUUUUCUUUCGGGAGGAACUUAGUGGCGGACGGGUGAGUAACGCGUGGGUAACCUGCCCUGUACAGGGGGACAACAGCUGGAAACGGCUGCUAAUACCGCAUAAGCCCUUAGCACUGCAUGGUGCAUAGGGAAAAGCAGCCCUCCGGUACAGGAUGGACCCGCGUCUGAUUCGCCACUUGGCAGCGUAACGGCCUACCAAAGCGACGAUCAGUAGCCGAUCUGAGAGGAUGGCCUGUCACAUUGGGACUGAGCCACGGCCCAGACUCCCACGGGACACAGCAGUCGGUACUCUUGCGGUCUGGAGGAAUCCCUGAUGCGGCGACGUGGCGUGAGUGAAGAAGUCUUUAGGUAUGUAACUCGCUAUCAGACGGAACGACAACGGCGGUCCUUGACUGAGAAGGACCGGCCAAAUCCGUG
Molecule: ribosomal RNA, 462 nt
Filed under: uncultured bacterium
Lineage: Bacteria
Description: partial 16S ribosomal RNA
Rfam family: Bacterial small subunit ribosomal RNA
Source: RNAcentral